RNAcentral lists this ribosomal RNA (440 nucleotides) under uncultured bacterium. RNAcentral's name for it is "partial 16S ribosomal RNA". It matches the Rfam family "Bacterial small subunit ribosomal RNA", at positions 338 to 795 of the family's 1533-position model. The record is from RNAcentral.
CCUACGGGUGGCAGCAGUAGGGAAUAUUGCUCAAUGGGGGAAACCCUGAAGCAGCAACGCCGCGUGGAGGAUGAAGGUUUUCGGAUUGUAAACUCCUUUUGUUAGAGAAGAUAAUGACGGUAUCUAACGAAUAAGCACCGGCUAACUCCGUGCCAGCAGCCGCGGUAAUACGUAGGGUGCAAGCGUUACUCGGAAUCACUGGGCGUAAAGAGCGCGUAGGCGGGGUAGCAAGUCAGAUGUGAAAUCCUAUGGCUUAACCAGAGAACUGCAUUUGAACCUGUUAUUCUAGAGUAUGGGAGAGGUAGGUGGAAUUCUUGGUGUAGGGGUAAAAUGCGUAGAGAUCAAGAGGAAUACUCAUUGCGAAGGCGACCUGCUAGAACAUAACUGACGCUGAUGCGCGAAAGCGUGGGGAGCAAACAGGAUUAGAUACCCUUGUAGUC